UACGUAGGGUGCGAGCGUUAAUCGGAAUUACUGGGCGUAAAGCGUGCGCAGGCGGUUCGUUGUGUCGGUGGUGAAAUCCCCGGGCUUAACCUGGGAAUGGCCAUGGAAACUGGCGAACUGGAGUGCGGCAGAGGGGGGUGGAAUUCCGCGUGUAGCAGUGAAAUGCGCAGAUAUCAGGAGGAACACCGGUGGCGAAGGCGGCAUCCUGGACCAAUUCUGACGCUGAGUGAGCGAAAGCCAGGGGAGCAAACGGG
RNAcentral lists this ribosomal RNA (254 nucleotides) under uncultured bacterium. RNAcentral's name for it is "partial 16S ribosomal RNA". It matches the Rfam family "Bacterial small subunit ribosomal RNA", at positions 524 to 776 of the family's 1533-position model. The record is from RNAcentral.